Molecule: ribosomal RNA, 433 nt
Filed under: uncultured bacterium
Lineage: Bacteria
Description: partial 16S ribosomal RNA
Rfam family: Bacterial small subunit ribosomal RNA
Source: RNAcentral
AACGAACGCUGGCGGCAUGCCUAACACAUGCAAGUCGAACGAGACCUUCGGGUCUAGUGGCGCACGGGUGCGUAACGCGUGGGAACCUGCCCUUAGGUUCGGAAUAACUCCCCGAAAGGGGUGCUAAUACCGGAUAAUGUCUUCUGACCAAAGAUUUAUCGCCUUUGGAUGGGCCCGCGUUGGAUUAGCUAGUUGGUAGGGUAAAAGCCUACCAAGGCGACGAUCCAUAGCUGGUCUGAGAGGAUGAUCAGCCACACUGGGACUGAGACACGGCCCAGACUCCUACGGGAGGGAGCAGUGGGGAAUAUAGGAAAAUGGGGGAAAGGAUGAUGGCGCAAGGCCGCGUGAGUGAUGAAGUCCUUAGGGUUGUAAAGCUCUUUUACCCGGGAUGAUAAUGACGGUACCGGGAGAAUAAGCACCGGCUAACUACGUG